RNAcentral lists this long non-coding RNA (959 nucleotides) under Homo sapiens (human). RNAcentral describes it as "HSALNT0311052". Lineage: Eukaryota; Metazoa; Chordata; Mammalia; Primates; Hominidae. The record is from RNAcentral.
CUUAAGAUACAAUAAAACAUACUUAACUGUUUUAAAAAGUGUGUCAUAGGAGCUUUUGAACAUACAAAUAGAAUCAUACUUCAAUUUCAGUUUAUACUGAACAAAAUACAGUUUUUCUUUGAAUUGGUAGUACUUCAGAAUCUGAGUGUCUUAACAGUCAUUGUGUUAGUAAAUUUGAGUGCCUCCUGUAUGCUGGGUAUUCAAGAUGCUAAGGAUCCAUCCAGCUUUGAACAAGACAAGGCCCAUUCAUUCAGCUGCAUUAGGAUAUUUAUCGAUGACCUAUUAUUAUCAGGAACUUACUCUUCUAGGCAUUGCAGAUACAAUGUGAAAAAAAGACAAAUCCUUGUCUUUGUGGACUUAGAUUCUAGUAGGAGGAGAGGAAUAAGCAGGAAAGAUAAAUAAAAUGUAUAGUGUGUUAGAUGGUGAUAAGUGGUUUGGAGAAAAAAACAAUGAAGGGAAUAGGGAAUACUAGGCAAGAUGCAUAUGUUGGAAUUUUAAAUAGUUGGUCGUUAAAGACCUCAUUGAGAAGGUGACUUAACAGAAGAUGGGAAAGUGAGAUCCCUGCCAUUGCAUUAGAAAGAGGUAGACAGGUAUAGAAAUUAGAUCAUUUCAGAUAGCAUGUGCUUGUAAAUCAACAUGGUAUGAAAUGAUUAUGAGACUCUACUUUGGGUGGUCAAGAAAGGUGACAUGUGAGUGCAGACACUGAAGAAACAUAAGAGUCAAGAAUGAUUGAAGCAGAGGAAACAGCAAAUUCAGAGACCCUAGUUUUGUUGAGGAACAUAAAGCCAGCCUGGCUAGAGUUUAAAUGAGUGAGGUGUUAAGAAAGACGAAGUUGAGGAAGCAGCUGUAAAGUCAUAGGAUUUUAUUCUAAAUGUGGUGGCAGUAACUGGGCAGGUAUAACAUCAUAGGAUUUUAUUCUAAAUAUGGUGGAGGUAACUGGGCGUGGUGGCUUAUGCCUG